AUGCAGGCCAGAAUCCCAUUGGCUUUUUUAGCUGCCGCAUCACAUUGUUGGCUCAUGUUUAACUUGUUGUCCACAACGACUCCAAGGUCUUUUUCACAAUACUUCUAUUUAUGCUGGCCAAAAUCCCAUUGGCUUUUUUCACCACCGCAUCACAUUGUUGGCAUGUUUAACAUGUUGUCCACAAGGACUCCAAGAUCUUUUUCACAUAUACUGCUAUUGAGCCAGGGGUCCCCCAUUCUGUAUUUUUGCAUUUUAUUUUUUCUGCCUAAGUGGAGUAUCUUGCAUUUGUCUCUGUUGAACUUCAUUUUGUUAGUUUUGGCCCAUCCCUCUAAUCUGUUAAGAUCGUUUUGAAUUCUGCUCCUGUCUUCUGGAGUAUUGGCUAUCCCUCCCAAUUUGGUGUCCUCUGUAAACUUGAUGAUCAUGCCUUCUAAACCUUCACCUAAGUCAUUAAUAAAGAUGUUGAAAAGAACCAGGCCCAGGAUGGAACCCUUUGGCACUCAACUCAUCACUUCUUUCCAGGCUGAAGAGAAAGCAUUGGUGAGCACCCUCUGGGUUUGUUCACUUAAGCAACUACAGAUCCACCUAAUCAUAGCUUUGAAUAGCCCACAUUUCAAUAGUUUGUUUGACAGAAGGUCAUGGUGGACUUUGUCAAUGGCCUUACUGAAAUCCAGAUGAGCUACAUCCACAGCAUUCCCUGCAACUACCCAGCUGAUAACUUUAUCAAAAAAAGAGAUCAGAUAAGUCUGACAUGACUUGUUUUUGAUAAAUCCAUGUUAACUAUUAGCAAUGACCACAUUCCUUUCUAAGUGUUUGCAGACCGCUUCCUUAAUGGUCUUUUCCAGAAUCUUGUCUGGUAUCGGCAUGAAGCUGACUGGAGGAUAAUUGUUUGGGUCAUCCUUUUUUCCCUUCUUGAAGAUAGGGACCACAUUUGCCCUCCUCCUAUCUUCUAGGACUUGUCUCAUUCUCCAAAAACUCUCAAAGAUCAUUGCCAGAGGUUUCAAAAUGACUUCUGCUAGUUCCUUCAGUACUCUUGGAUGUAGUUGAUCCGGCUCUAGGGACUUGAAGUCAUGACUUGUUUCCCUAUUUGGGAUUGGAUUUUCCCAAAUCCUUCAUCCAUUCCAUGUUGCUGAGAUUGAGGAUGGCUUUCUUUUUGUGAGAGACUAAAGCAAAGAAGGCAUUUAGUAGUUCUGCCUUUUCCCUAUCCUCUGUCAGCAUUACCCCAUUUUCUCUUCACAGAGGCCCUUUCGCCUCCUUGUUCUUCCUUUUUCUACUGACGUAAACAAAGAAGCCCUUUUUAUUUUUAAUUUCCCUGGCAAGCCUGAAUUUAUUUUGCGCUUGAGCCUUGCAAACCUUUUUUCCUAGAGGAGUUGGUUAUUUGAAUUCUUCUUUGGUGGUUUCUCCCCUUUUCCACUUUUUGUGCAUAUCUCUUUUGAGUCUUAGUCCAGUUAAAAGUUAUUUGGACAUCCAUUAUGACUUCUUUGCAAUUGUCUUAUUUUUUUCCCUCUUUGUUGGCACUGUUUGCAAUUGCACCUUGAGUAUUUCACUCUUUAAAAACUCCCAUCCAUCCAUAACUCCAUUUUGUUUUAGUAUUGGCUUCGUUUUUCAGAUGUCAGCUCUCCUAAAGUCCAGAGUGCGGGUUUGACUUGGCCUUCCUUUGUAUCGCAGACUGCAGGAGCAUAUAGAAUCUGACCACUCUGACUGCAUUGAUCAGAUCCUUGGUGUUUGUUAGAAUGAGAUUGAGAUUAGCCGAUCCCCUUGUUGCCUCUUCUACUUUCUGAACCAUAAAAUUAUCUGUAAGGCAAGCAAGGAAUUUGUUCGACUCUUGGCCAAGUUGUUUUUCAACAAAUGUCAGGAUAUUUGAAAUUGCCCAUGAUUACUACAUCUCUUCCUUGUGCCUGUUUGUUAAACUGUUGACAGAUGUCUUCAUCGAGUUCUUUAUCCUGGCUCAGAGGUCUAUAGUAGAUGCCCACAAUGAGAACUUUUUGAGUCCCGGUUCCAUUGAUUUUUAUCCAGAUGCUUUCAAGCUGGUUUCCCAGAUUGCAGUCUUGCAUUUCUUCUGCGGCGUAACUGUUUUUGACAUAUAAGGCUACUCCCUCUCCUUUGUUCUGUUUCUGUGAAAAAGGUUAUAGCCCUCAAUGGCUACAUUCCAGUGAUGGGAGUCAUCCCACCAGGUUUCAGUGAUGCCUAUGACAUCGUAAGUGUGGUGUCGUGCUAAAAGUUGGAGUUUGUCUUCCUUAUUUCCUAUGCUCUUUGCAUUGGUGUAAAGACAUGUAAGCCCAUGUAACCUUCCCCUGAGCUGUUUAUUUGGGAUUAUUGUGCUCUCGGUACUUGGUCCUUGCUGUGUUUGUGCAGCCCUCCAUUUAGCCUUUUGGCGGUUCCCUGUGAUUAUGCGUAAAAUACUGUUCGCAAGGCUGUUGUUUUCCUCCCCAGUGGAUCUAGUUUAAAGUGCGCCUGAUGAGGUUUGUGAGUCUGUGAGCAAAAAGGUGUUUUCCUAUUUGUGUGAGGUGCACCCCAUCCCUUGCCAGUAGGCCAUCCUCCUGGAAAAGCAGGCCAUGGUCGAGGAAGCUAAAACGUUCCUCCUGACACCAUUUUCUGAGCCAGUUAUUGACCUGUACUAUUUUGAACAAGGAUGGUCUACUGAGUGAUAUCUAAUUGUGGUCCUCCCCAAGAUGUUAUGUUUCCUGAUCAAGUGUUAGUGGUGUAAGAAUUUGGAAUAUAUUGUGUAACUGUAGCUGAUCAGAAGUAUUCUGAGGAAGCUGCUUGGUCCUGUGUCUCUUUCUAAGGGUGACAUUCUUCAAGUCUAAUGGUUGCCCAUAUUUGAAGUGCUCUCCCCAUAUCAUGUUCAUGUUGGUUUGAGGUGGGUUGCGUAUUUAGAACAGCAUGCUGUGUGGUGUCCAAGAAGAGCCCGAGUUCCUGAAUGUACUUAAGGGUCUUAAUUCAGUGCUUGAGUCGUCGAAUGCUCUGUUCUAUAAUAGUUAUCUGUUUGCACUUGGUGCAGAUGUAGUUGAGUAGCUGUUGUGUGAAGAAGCUGAACAUGCCACAGCUUUUACAUGUGAUGGGAAUGUUUUGCUUUUGUUCCAUCUUGUGAAUGAGGAUACCAAGCAGGAUUCUUAUAGUGUUAGUUAAUGUGUCUGCAUGCUAUGUGGAGACUGCUAAUCACUUUCCCCUAUCUGUGUUUGUUUUGUAUUGUUUUGUUUUCUGUAUGUAUUGUAAAGGUGUGUGUUAGUGAGUCAGCUAGCCUUUUACUAUAGGAGGCAAGCACACUCUCAGCUUUCUAGUGCAAUCUAAGUCAAGGCUUACCUGAAGCAAGGGAGCAAAGGUGGCUUCUUGCUUUUUAACUUCUGUGGGAACCCAACCCAAUUUGGGAAGAUAUUCUGGAAUUCCAAAAUACCAGUGAGGAUGGUAAGUUUUUUCAUUUGUGGCUAGGAUGCCUCCAACAAAGUUUACAAACUUCAUAUGGUAACCUCCUUAGAUAUUUAAAGACAAGACAUCUUUAUAGGAAUCUCUAGGUCCUCCAAUAUGAAAGUUAACAAUAGAAAUGUGCUGGAAAACCGAGAAAUUCCACUAACAGUAUUAUCUCAGGUUAAAAGAUAACAAUUGCCUUAUUUGCAGUUUUUCACUUCCCAAGGAUCUUGUGACUCUAACCUUAGAAAAUAUGAAGGGCUAACUGUACCUGCUUCCACAGUAAACACUGCUACACUCACAUUCACAUUUCAUCCUUUAAGUUUUUGAGCACUUCUUGAUUUUCUACAGACCCAUCUGUGGAACCUUCUUGGCAGACAGAUUUACUAUUCUUCUUCAGUUCUAAGACUCACUUUUUUCCUAUAUAAACAUCUCUAAAAAUGGUGUACAUCUUAGAAUUGCAGGCUUAUCUUAUAUAAUUUUGUUGGUGAUGAUGUCAUUGAAAUUAGUGUGUCUUACAAUCGGUGUCUUAUAAUUGAAGAAGAAUAUGGGACUUCAUACUUCCUUUAAUGACAGUAUCUUUAUUAAUCUGUUUAUUAAUUUGCUGACAAAGCAUGUUGGAUCAAAUUGUGAAUUACAACACUCUCUGUAAAUGAGUGAUUCGGUAGGUCAUUUGACACAGUACGAGGAUCUUUUUAUUUUGCUUUUACUACUAGAAGAAUUAAUUUAUUUACUAUUAUGUACAGUCAUUUAAUUAGCUAGCUGCUGUUUUUAUUUGUGUUUUACAAUUUUUACAAGAUCCGAAGUUAGUUCU
RNAcentral lists this long non-coding RNA (4216 nucleotides) under Anolis carolinensis (green anole). RNAcentral describes it as "lncRNA (ENSACAG00000044563.1)". Lineage: Eukaryota; Metazoa; Chordata; Lepidosauria; Squamata; Anolidae. The record is from RNAcentral.